RNAcentral lists this small nuclear RNA (274 nucleotides) under Egretta garzetta (little egret). Its description in RNAcentral is "7SK RNA". It matches the Rfam family "7SK RNA". From Rfam's summary of the family: 7SK was discovered as an abundant small nuclear RNA in the mid-70s but a possible function has only recently been suggested. Two independent studies have found that 7SK RNA binds the CDK9/cyclin T complex (known as elongation factor P-TEFb). Lineage: Eukaryota; Metazoa; Chordata; Aves; Pelecaniformes; Ardeidae. The record is from Rfam by way of RNAcentral.
GAGUAGCAGAGUGAAAGUCUGUCUCCUCAUUGAUCACUGGAGUGCACUUGACUGAUCUGGCUGGUUAGGUGAAUUUUUCAUCUCUCCUCACAACAUCUUUCCGCAAACAUCACAAAGCUGCACACUGAGAAGAGGAGCUCUGCGUCCAGAACAGUAACGUCUCCUCCUAGAUCCUCCAAACAAGAUUAAAGUUCGUCAAACGCAGAGCAGCCAAGCCUCCAAGUCUUGAGACACGUCCAAAUGAAGGUCUAUAUACUGCAAUUUGCCUUUCAUU